CUCAGUGGCCAUACCUUCCUGACCAUGCCUGACCUCAUCUGAUCUUGAAAGCUAGGCAGGGUCAUGCCUAAGCUGUACUUGGAUGAGAGGUCAACUUAUAAAUUAGGCACUGGUGGAG
Molecule: ribosomal RNA, 118 nt
Organism: Cricetulus griseus (Chinese hamster)
Lineage: Eukaryota; Metazoa; Chordata; Mammalia; Rodentia; Cricetidae
Source: Ensembl